GUCGGGAAUUUUGGGCAAUGGGCGAAAGCCUGACCCAGCAACGCCGCGUGAAGGAUGAAGUAUUUCGGUAUGUAAACUUCGAAAGAAUAGGAAGAAUUAAUGACGGUACUAUUUAUAAGGUCCGGCUAACUACGUGCCAGCAGCCGCGGUAAUACGUAGGGACCAAGCGUUGUUCGGAUUUACUGGGCGUAAAGGGCGCGUAGGCGGUGCUGUAAGUCACUUGUGAAAUCUCUGAGCUUAACUCAGAACGGCCAAGUGAUACUGCAGCACUAGAGUGCGGAAGGGGCAAUCGGAAUUCUUGGUGUAGCGGUGAAAUGCGUAGAUAUCAAGAGGAACACCUGAGGUGAAGACGGGUUGCUGGGCCGACACUGACGCUGAGGCGCGAAAGCCAGGGGAGCAAACGGGAUUAGAAACCCGAGUAGUCC
This 425-nucleotide ribosomal RNA is filed under the name uncultured bacterium. RNAcentral's name for it is "bacterial SSU rRNA". It matches the Rfam family "Bacterial small subunit ribosomal RNA", at positions 354 to 796 of the family's 1533-position model. The record is from RNAcentral.